RNAcentral lists this ribosomal RNA (466 nucleotides) under uncultured bacterium. RNAcentral's name for it is "SSU rRNA". It matches the Rfam family "Bacterial small subunit ribosomal RNA", at positions 26 to 521 of the family's 1533-position model. The record is from RNAcentral.
AGCCUGAACGCUGGCGGCGUGGUUAAGACAUGCAAGUCGUACGGUGUAGCAAUACACAGUGGCGAACGGGUGAGUAAUGAAUCGCUAAUGUACCCCGGACUCUGGGAUAGCUGACCGAAAGGUCAGGUAAUACCAGAUGAUAUAUCCCUUCCGCAUGGUUGGGAUCUCAAAGGUCCGCCGGUCUGGGAGCAGGCGAUUUUGUAUCAGCUAGUUGGUGAGGUAACGGCUCACCAAGGCGAUGACGCAUAGCCGGACUGAGAGGUUGGCCGGCCACAUUGGGACUGAGACACUGCCCAGACUCCUACGGGGGGCUGCAGUAACGAAUCUUCCGCAAUGCACGAAAGUGUGACGGAGCGACGCCGCGUGUGGGACGAAGCCCUUCGGGGUGUAAACCACUGUCAGAGGAUAGAAAGUUCUGAUCAUCCUCAGAGGAAGGCACGGCUAACUCUGUGCCAGCAGCCGCGGU